RNAcentral lists this ribosomal RNA (497 nucleotides) under uncultured bacterium. Its description in RNAcentral is "partial 16S ribosomal RNA". It matches the Rfam family "Bacterial small subunit ribosomal RNA", at positions 28 to 507 of the family's 1533-position model. The record is from RNAcentral.
GAUGAACGCUGGCGGCGUGCCUAAUACAUGCAAGUCGAGCGAACAGAUGAGGAGCUUGCUCCUCUGACGUUAGCGGCGGACGGGUGAGUAACACGUGGAUAACCUACCUAUAAGACUGGGAUAACUUCGGGAAACCGGAGCUAAUACCGGAUAAUAUAUUGAACCGCAUGGUUCAAUAGUGAAAGACGGUUUUGCUGUCACUUAUAGAUGGAUCCGCGCCGCAUUAGCUAGUUGGUAAGGUAACGGCUUACCAAGGCAACGAUGCGUAGCCGACCUGAGAGGGUGCUCGGCCACACUGGAACUGAGACACGGUCCAGCCUCCUACGGGAGGCAGCAGUAGGGAAUCUUCCGCAAUGGGCGAAAGCCUGACGGAGCAACGCCGCGUGAGUGAUGAAGGUCUUCGGAUCGUAAAACUCUGUUAUUGGGGAAGAACAAAUGUGUAAGUAACUAUGCACGUCUUGACGGUACCUAAUCAGAAAGCCCCGGCUAACUACGUG